This is a long non-coding RNA of Nicrophorus vespilloides, 498 nucleotides long. RefSeq lists it as uncharacterized. The record is from RefSeq and is a predicted model, not a curated record. Lineage: Eukaryota; Metazoa; Arthropoda; Insecta; Coleoptera; Silphidae. The transcript has 4 exons.
UCUAUUAUCGAAUCAUGCAAAGUAUAAUUAAAGUUGUUGAGCAUGCGUUAGAAGUACUUCCUUUUCCUGCCUCCAUUUUUCCAAUUCGUUUUCCUUUCACUCUUGUGCCAUGGCGAUGAGUGGUUGUAAAUAAUAUUUCUCUUAAAAGUUACGAAACACUUGAGAUUGUUGACGAGCUCAGAAAGUUGGUAAUGUUUCAAGGCGAUAACUGAUGUCACUUGUUUAAUAGACGCCGCUAUUGUUGGAAAAAUCUUUUUUUUUUACCACAACCAAAUGGCGUUCUUAUUUUUAUCUAUACUGACUUAGACGUGAAUGUAAGUGUAUUAUUGGACAAAACAAAAUAGAAUUCCCAUUACCCUCAAUAUGAUUAUAUCAUAUACAAUACGAGUUUUCAAUGACGACAACUUUGUAUAAGGCAGACUAUGACUAUUUGUCUCCUAUCACAUAUAAUUUUUGUUUGUAUGGAUGGAAUUUAAUUAGAAAAUGUUAUUUACAGAA